Oncorhynchus nerka (sockeye salmon) is the source of this 2717-nucleotide long non-coding RNA. RefSeq lists it as uncharacterized. NCBI's taxonomy places the organism in Eukaryota, Metazoa, Chordata, Actinopteri, Salmoniformes, Salmonidae. The transcript is spliced from 2 exons. The record is from RefSeq and is a predicted model, not a curated record.
CUGGCCACCCUUUCAAGAAUACAUUUGGAACUUUUUUUGGUGUAUGUAUGAAGAUUGGUUUUACAAUUUUGGGCCUCUGUAACAUAAAAUAUUCAUUGAUGAAUUCCUAAUGACAGUCAGUGCCCUCUUCUCACCCUCGCUAUCAUAAUAUCUCAACACGACGAUUAAAGUUGGAUGCAAUCACUGAUUCAUGAUGAGGUCAGGCCCCAGCUACUCUGCAAAGGCUGUGGACACUGGAAUUGAGACACAGAUUACAUUGGCGGCAAAUAAGAUGCAUUUCAUUUUCGUUAUGGAUAAUUACUUUACUUUGAGAGCUGAAUGUCUAUCCCCCUGCACCUUCACUACAACUCAUUAUCACAUCUGACACCUCGCAGCCUGAGGUGACCUUAAACUCAGGUACAUUUUUAAGCCUUUAAGGUCGGAAACUUCCCGGUAAAUUUCCUGAAAUUCUCAGUCUGAAGUUAAGCAUAGGAAUCUUGGGAAUUUUGCUUAAAUUCAUCAAAAAAGUUUGCUUACAACAGUGAACCUUUUUUAUGGGAUACACAUAAAGCAAUUCUAGGGCUUGUGGCAUAUUUUGGUUAAACUAUUCCAAAUUCAAUGGAAUUGCAACCCUCUGCAUGCACUGUGCAUUCUUAAUCACAUGUGCAGUGCACUCAUCCAUCACAUGUACAGCUGAUUCUCAAGAUCUUGAACACUAAUGAGAUGCUAUUGAGCCCACACUACUACACUGUCUGAGCCAAGGACUACAUGCUUUCUGGAAAAUUCCACUGGCACUAUCUGAUGUGUGGAGACAUUUCACUGCAUCUAAUGUAGAAGGGAAAGCUGUGUACAUUUGCAAAUAUUGUGCCAAAUCAUAUGUGAAGAAAGCAGAAAAGAUGCAGAAUCAUCUGGCCAAGUGCAUAAAGUUCCCUCAGCGCUCACAACGAACCUCUAACAAAAGUCCCUCUACUUCUAUUCGAGGUGAAAAUUAUGUAUCAGACACCUUAUCGAUAGCAACAGCUCAUGGUCCUCCUGGAAUCUGAAGGUUUUCUUUAUUCAAUGGAGGAACAUAGUCAUAGAUGCUGAUGAAUGUCUUGCUCAAGCUGUGUAUGCAACUGUUUCACCUCUGAUGGUCACAGGCAAUAUGUAUUGGAAGAGAUUUCUGAAUGUUCUUUGCCCAGCAUACAUCCCUCUAACCAGACAUGCUUUAUCUACUCAUUUGCUGGAUGCAGAGUUCAAGAGUGCAAGUGAAGGUCAAGCAAAUCAUAGAGGAAGCAGACUGUAUUGCAGUCUCUGAUGGGUGGUCGAAUGUUUGUGGGCAAGGAAUAAUUAACUACAUCUCAACCAGUAUUCUACAAGAGCACAGACGCAAGGGACAACAACCACACCGUUCUCUACAUUGCAGAUGAGUUGAGGGCAGUCAUCAAUGACCUUGGACCACAGAAGGUAUUUGCGCUGGUGACAGACACUGCUGCGAACAUGAAGGCUGCUUGGUCUAAAGUGGAGGAGUCCUACCCUCACAUCACACCCAUUGGCUGUGCUGCUCAUGCAUUGAAUCUGCUCCUCAAGGACAUCAUGGCACUGAAAACAAAUGGAUACACUCUACAAGAGAGCCAAUGAAAUGGUUAGGUAUGUGAAGGGUCAUCAAGUUAUAGCAGCAAUCUACCUGACCAAGCAAAGUGAGAAGAAUAAGAGCACCACUUUGAAGCUGCCCAGCAACACCCGUUGGGGUGGUGUUGUCAUCAUGUUUGACGGUCUCCUGGAGAGGAAGCAGUCUCUCCAAGAUAUGGCCAUAUCACAGUCUGCCGACAUGGACAGCCCCAUCAAGAGGAUCAUCCUCGAUGAUGUAUUUUGUGAGAGUGGUAAGCAGCCUGAAACUCCUGAAACCUAUAGCAGUAGCCAUUGCACGGAUUGAGGGAGACAAUGACAUCCUGUCUGAUGUUCAGACUCUGCUUGCAGAUGUAAGAGAAGAAGUCUGUUCUGCCCUGCCCACUUCACUGUUGCUCUAAGCAGAGGAAACUGCAGUACUGAAAUACAUCAAAAAGUGUGAAGAUACACGCCACAGCGUACAUGUUGGACCCCAUGUAUGCUGGCAAGAGCAUCCUGUCUGGUGCAGAGAUCAACAAGGCUCAUGGUGUCAUCACUACCGUGUCUCGCCACCUUGGCCUGUACGUUGGCAAGGUUCUUGGCAGUCUGGCGAAGAACACUUCCAAGCAAGGGCUUUGGGGUGGAGAUGCAAUAUGACAGUCGAGCCAACGUAUCUCAUCAGCCACCUAGUGGAAGGGACUUUGUGGAUUUAGGCUCUUUCCCCUGUUGCCUCCAUCGUCCUCCAAAUCCCACCAACAUCAGUCGCCUCAGAGCGCAACUGGUCCUUGUUUUGGAACACACACCAAAGCACGCAACAGGCUGACCAAUACAAGGGUUGAAAAAUUGGUGGCCAUCCGGUCAAAUUUGAGGCUUUUUGAGCCUGACAAUGAGCCAUCCUCAACAAGGUUGGAAAGUGACAGCGAAGAUGAGGCCUCCGAGGGUGAUGUUCAAGAGGUGGACAUUGAGGUCCAGGGAGAAGACAUGGAAGCCUGAGAGGAAGAAAACCAAAGCUUUAGUUUCUAGACUAUAUAUGUUGAAAAUGUUUUUAGGAGAUGCAAUGGAUCAUUAGGGAUCCUUCAAUAUUCCCUUUUGUUGUUCAGUGAAGUCAUCCCAUGUGAACUAAUUUAAUUAAAGUUCAAUUCAUAACUAAA